This 1024-nucleotide unclassified non-coding RNA is filed under the name Bombus terrestris (buff-tailed bumblebee). RNAcentral's name for it is "misc RNA ENSBTSG00005033762.1". Lineage: Eukaryota; Metazoa; Arthropoda; Insecta; Hymenoptera; Apidae. The record is from RNAcentral.
AAGUAGGAGUGUACCUGUGGAGGCGUCAACAACAUCUCAAGGUCAGUUAUGUUUCUACAAAUAAGAUUCCAUAUACAAGCGUACACAUCCACUUGGAAUCUAACUCGGAUGUUAUUCAUAAAAACACUAGUGACCUUGAGAAAUAAUUAACAUACCACCUAGAGAAAUAAUUCUCUCCUUCGAAUUCCAAUAUACUUACGUUGGGAUGGAAAGUUGGAAUGUACAAGGGUUAAAGAAGGUCAAAAGCGCAUUAGAAUAUCAAAGAGAAAGGAUAAUAGGUGAAAGCGUCAAGGCCGCUUCUUUGAAUAGGUUUCAAGAAAGGAACUUGCUGUCGAUUGAAUCUCUCAUAUACCGAGAUGCUAAUGGGGUAAUUAUCUCGUAAGAAGAAAAAAAGUAGCCUUCGAGAUCCUCGUGAAACGAGGAAAAUCUCCUUGUAAACAAAAAAUACUACAAACUGCUUGUGGAAUAUGAAGACAGUGAGUGAAAGAAACGUCGUUAUGUCUGAACAUUGGUUCGAACAUUGAUUCGUGACUCUGGCGACAAUCUGGUAAGAUUGAAAGGCAAAGCGCGAAGGAAAUUCGAUACGCUUGUACCUCGACGAUAUCUUCAGCCCGAUCUCAAAGCAUCGUAGUAACGUAUACGAACAAAUCGCUGAGAUUAAAAAGGGACGACCAGAUAAAAAUGGCGACUGGGCGUAGACAAGCGUUCCCAAUUGACGACUUCAAUUCGAGAAUCGAUACGCUCGAUACACGUGUAUUUCAUUAAUGGAACCGCGAUCUCGAUAAAGACCACACGAAAGUUCGAUUACGGGAUUGAAACUAAACGAGGAACGCGCAUAAGCGUUAUCCUCGGUCAACAAACGUAAAAUGCUCUGAUAAGCCACGAUAUCGGCGAACGACACCGAUAGUUCUUGAAUAAAGGUGAAAGGAAACUGGAUUUAAGCAUAUACGGAAUGAAACCGGUUUGAAUCUACGAACCACAAGAAGGAAGCGUUUUCCUGUGUCUGGUCAAAUGGAAAUCAACG